This 879-nucleotide ribosomal RNA is filed under the name uncultured bacterium. RNAcentral's name for it is "bacterial SSU rRNA". It matches the Rfam family "Bacterial small subunit ribosomal RNA", at positions 42 to 911 of the family's 1533-position model. The record is from RNAcentral.
ACAGGCUUAACACAUGCAAGUCGAGGGGAAACGACAUCGAAAGCUUGCUUUUGAUGGGCGUCGACCGGCGCACGGGUGAGUAACGCGUAUCCAACCUGCCCAUCACUUGGGGAUAACCUUGCGAAAGUAAGACUAAUACCCAAUGACGUCUCUAGAAGACAUCUGAAGGAGAUUAAAGAUUUAUCGGUGAUGGAUGGGGAUGCGUCUGAUUAGCUUGUUGGCGGGGUAACGGCCCACCAAGGCGACGAUCAGUAGGGGUUCUGAGAGGAAGGUCCCCCACAUUGGAACUGAGACACGGUCCAAACUCCUACGGGAGGCAGCAGUGAGGAAUAUUGGUCAAUGGGCGAGAGCCUGAACCAGCCAAGUAGCGUGCAGGAUGACGGCCCUAUGGGUUGUAAACUGCUUUUAUAAGGGAAUAAAGUGAGUCUCGUGAGACUUUUUGCAUGUACCUUAUGAAUAAGGACCGGCUAAUUCCGUGCCAGCAGCCGCGGUAAUACGGAAGGUCCGGGCGUUAUCCGGAUUUAUUGGGUUUAAAGGGAGCGUAGGCCGGAGAUUAAGCGUGUUGUGAAAUGUAGACGCUCAACGUCUGCACUGCAGCGCGAACUGGUUUCCUUGAGUACGCACAAAGUGGGCGGAAUUCGUGGUGUAGCGGUGAAAUGCUUAGAUAUCACGAAGAACUCCGAUUGCGAAGGCAGCUCACUGGAGCGCAACUGACGCUGAAGCUCGAAAGUGCGGGUAUCGAACAGGAUUAGAUACCCUGGUAGUCCGCACGGUAAACGAUGGAUGCCCGCCGUUGGUCUGAAUAGGUCAGCGGCCAAGCGAAAGCAUUAAGCAUCCCACCUGGGGAGUACGCCGGCAACGGUGAAACUCAAAGGAAUU